RNAcentral lists this long non-coding RNA (219 nucleotides) under Olea europaea (common olive). RNAcentral describes it as "long non-coding RNA (OEUR_LNC015583)". The record is from RNAcentral. Lineage: Eukaryota; Viridiplantae; Streptophyta; Magnoliopsida; Lamiales; Oleaceae.
GCUGGUUGAGGGCAACAGACUCCUAAUCUUAAGGCCCACGUACAGCAUAAUCAAAACUAACAGCUAUCAACUUCAACAAACUUAUUCUAACUGAAAAACAAAUAUAAACAUUGCAACUUUUACUGGAUCAGAUUUCCUUGGACUGAGUCUUGGAUUUCCACGUCGUGCAUGUAGUUGUUUCGGCCUUGAACUCAAAUUUUUACGUAGUUGCAUGAAACC